AUGACUCCGAUCCCAGGAUGGAUCUCAACCUGGACACAAGAAGACUGGGAGGCAGUCAGGGAUGGAGACACAGAUGUGGAACUGGACAGCGUAGAUCUGGGGAGGGACAGCGAAGUGGCACAUGGAGAACUGGACCUGGACUGCGGAGACCCUGGAAGGGCCGGUAAUGCUUUGGUAGGCUCCACCCUGGAUCUCUUAGGAGGUGCAGCCGAAUCUAUUAUAUUCCUCAAACUCAGUAGGAGUCCUGGCACAUCUAGACACAGUUCAUCAAAAACAAAUAAUUUAUUAUUAUCACUCCUUUAGGACAAUACAGCCAAUUCAGCCUACAGUCAUUUAGAGAAAGGUUUAUUACUUGUCUGAUGGUUCAGUAUUUGAUAUGAAUCAAUGAUACCUUGAAGAACAAUCUCCUUCAACUUCGCGUUCUCUUCUUUCAGGUCCUUGAUCUCCUGCUUUAAUUCAGCCACAGUCUGAGUCGGACUGUUGUGAUUAUCUGAAGAAGGCUGUGAUUGACCGUAUAGCCUAAGAAACUCUUCUGCAGGGUCUAUCCUCCUGGGAGCCUUUGACUUCUGGGUGUCAAGAGAUAGGAAAAAAAACAAAACCAAAAUAAAAAGACAGCUAUUGCUGGUGUUGAGCAGCUAUUAUGUACAAGAGAAUCAAUAUCAAGAAUCCUUACAGAUUUAGCUAGAUAGUAAUGCCUAUUACACAAUAGUGCCAACUCCUUACACAUUCUAUGUACAUUGUACCACUGGGAAAUAUGGUCAUUGCAUAGGAGCUAAAAGUAAAUUAACGUCACCUUUGCUUGCUGAGACUGAGUUUCAAUAUCAGUUUAGCAAUCUGAAUCGUCCCCAUAUUUUUGGGGGGCCACUGAGGCCCUCUUUGUCAGCUCUGUAGGUUCUUCUUCCUUCAGCAGUGAGUUCAGUUUACGGAUUGUCUCAAAACGAGUAGCUAGAAAACAAAAGCAAAUAGACCAGAGUUAUACUCAAACAGCUGAUUACACCAGAUCACCCUCUUGUAACACUAAGACUGAAAAUAUACGUGAAGUUAGUGAUGUGUUGUGUGCUCCAAAAUAAGUGCAAGCACUGCAUGCAUGCUCUGUAUGCAUUGCUCAUAUACUUGUAUACUUGCAUACCCUAUGUAUACUCUACGCAAAUAUUCAGGGGGUUAUGCAUAAGGUAUACAUGACACCUGGCAUAAACAACUAUUCAAAAAGCUUUAUUCAACCUGGUUUCAACUGUCAAAGUAUUAUUAUCUCAUCUCAUUUUUAACAUAGUUACAUUUUUAGUUCAUUUUUGACAUAGUUGUCAGAUGACAUACUGAUUGUGGCACUUACAGUGUCAAAACCACAUAGUACUUGUGUUUGUGUGAAGUUAGUAACUCUUAACUUACCACCAACAAAAAUGACAGUGCCUCUGUAGUGAGGCCAGCCUCCUCAUUGUUUCCUCCCAUGGCGCCAUUCAAUUACGGCUGAGUAGGUGGCAAAGGGAUUCCCAUCCUGGUCCAUCUUGGAAUCAUCAUACCCCCUUUUGGCAUCAGUUUUUAUGUCACUGAGCUUCCCAAAAUCCUCCCCUUCACUCCACCGCACCACUGCAAACUUCCUCUCCAUGUGUUCUAAAAUUAUCAAAUAAAUAAAAAUCAUUGUUUGGUUUAGCAAUCAAUAAAUGACUGGCAGACAGAAACUGUUAUUAAGCUAACAUUUAACAUCAGUAUUCUGACAAAAAACACUUCUAAUAUUAGGUAUCUGCAGGGUUAGGCAAGUUAUAUUUAAGACUUUAUUGCCACUCAAAAUGAAAUUUAAGACCCAUUUUGAAUAUAUUGUGAUACACAAUUCUGUUGUCUAAAUUGAUAAUAUCAAGCACAUAUUAAACACAUUUCUUUCUAAAUUUGAUUUGAAAUAUCCAAAGGAAUAUAAUCUGAAAAUUGCAGAUUAGGUUAUUGAUAGGUUAAGUGAUUUAAUAGAGGUGAGCAGAUAAUGUGAUAUGUCUUUAUGAUUCUUGUGAUAUUAAUUUCUUUCAUAUAACGUUAGCCCAGUCCUACCUGACAGGUGCCUCUAUAGCCUACAACCAACCAGAAAGGGUCCGGUAGGUCCGGUGUUUCCUAUUAACAGACAGUAACGUUAGAGAAAUACUGAAAGCACAUUAACGUUAACUUACUACAAGAUGUUCUUGAACAUGAAUAUUUUGGCCAAAGGCUGUGCAACCAAAUGUAGUAAACAUAUAAAUAAUCAUUCUAUUUACUGGUUUAAAAACCUUAGAAUCAAAAACAAAGGUUCUGUAAUAUUGACAUGAAAAUAAAAUGGUGGAGACCAAAUAUUUAUGCAGACAUUAAAAAAAAUGUUAACUUUGCCAUGUUAUUUUUGCCUUCUGCCAAUGCGUUAAUUUACUGGAUCUGUUAUAAUCUAAGACUCAUCCAACGUUACACUUGUGUUAUUAUCAUAUAAAUAUUAUUAUAAAUAAGGAUAAUUAACGUUAACUUAACUAAUCUUGCUAAAAUGCACCACUUUGGGUAAUAUAAGCUGAAAGUGACUGUGCAGCUAACUUAAUUUAGCUAACUAACGUUACAACUGUAACAUGUAAUGUUAAACCAGUUAAUGUUCGCCAUUAAAAAAAUCAGUUGUUACUUAAAUAAAUGUAUUUCAAAUUUAAGCUCAAACAUUGCAGCUUAAAUCGUAAUGUUAACUCUAGAUUUACCAAACUAUGUCGUCUGUUGGCCGUUCGUCGGUCGUGAUUCAAAAGAUGCCUUCUUUUUCAACCUUCUACUUUUUUCCCUCCAUACGGUGUUCUGCAGUGUACUCGCUCUCUCUCUCUCUCUAUCGCUAUCUAUCUAUCUAGCGGCCCUGCGCAUGCGCAUUACCCACAACCUCGCACUGCUCUGUAGUCAUUAUUUUCGAGGAACGGGAACGUUGGCUAGCUGAAGUUUCCACUAACUUUCUAGCGGUAAAAUGGUCACAUCGUGUUGACAAUGAAAUUAGCUAGCUUCACCAGCAACCCUAAUAGGCAUUAAUACUGGUAACUAUGUCGAAAAGAAAGCACAACGUUACUGCUAACACAAAAGAAAAGGUUUGGUUGAGAGAAAAUGUUCCUAUACGUACUUUGACAAGAUGGAAAAAAAGGUUUGUACUAAAUUACACCUGUUUCCUAAUCCAGCUCGUAACUUCUGGUUAAAGGAGAACUCCGGUCAAUUUUAACAUUGAGCUAAUUUUUUUUUGUACAUUUGGAGUGCUGUCAGUACAGAGAACAACGACAAAAAUCGGUGUUUCCUACACCGUGUUAUAUUCUUUUUAAAAUUUGCACCUUGUUGACUUCAAUGGGCACGUUUAAACCUGUAUUAAUAAAAUUGAUGAUAAUUCUGCCCGCGAAAAUACCUGAAAAACUUACUGUUUUCAGUCGAAGUCCACAGUAGUCAAUAGUCGAGUUCACCCGCGCGAUCAUUGGUAACUAAGCAAUUCAAGAGAACGCGCCUGAACUCGACAAUCGACUACUGUGGACUUCGACCGAAAACAGGAAGUUUUUCAGGUAUUUUCGCUGGCAGAAUUAACAUCAAUUUUAUUAAUAUCUUUCACAUCUACUGCAGUCAGAUUCACUGUGUUCACUCUAAAUAAACUCACUCACAUGGCUGUGCACUUGUAAUGACACAUUGAGGAUGUUAAAGCAGGCUAAACGCAGGCGUGCCCCAUUGAAGUCAACAGGGUGCAAAUUUUAAAAAGAGGAUAACAUGGUAUUGUGUAUGAGGAGAUGUCGUCACGACACAGCGCCCCGCCCCCAGAGACCGCGUCUCCUCCCCUUUCCGCCAUCUUGGGAGUAUACCCGCCAGCAAAGUUCAUUGUUUACAUUGGUAGUAGAGGA
Long non-coding RNA from Cyprinus carpio carpio, 3842 nucleotides. NCBI's taxonomy places the organism in Eukaryota, Metazoa, Chordata, Actinopteri, Cypriniformes, Cyprinidae. The record is from Ensembl.